UUUUUUAAUGUUUUUACAGGCAAGAAUAGGUAGAAGAUGAUUUGGAAGAGAGUAUUUUUCUACACUGUUGAACUACCACUGGCAGCUACUAAUGUCAUGAAAGAAUGCGAGGUGUAUUUUUCUAUCUUAGAGCUUUCUUUCCAAAAUCACAAAUAGGUGUUUGUUCUUGCUAUGCUUUUCAUACAUUUAAUGCGGUUACAACUUUGACUGUGGCGGUUCCCAUGUUUGUUAGGCUGCUGACUCCAAGAGUGCACUCAAUAUACGUUGUUAUUUGGUGAACAAAAAUAAGUUGGUAAAUUACCAUUCAUGCUUGGUUCUUUUAUUCUUAUGAUUAUGAUUUUUUUUUUUACUUUUCAAACAUUGCAUUGUGCAUGCUAUUAAAUAGGUGGGAAUUUUCACAUAUUAUAAUUAUGAUCCAAACAAAUCUCUCUUUUUCGCAGUUGGUAGGUAGAAUCACGAAAGUCUAGCAAACUUGGUUCCUACCCGCUGCUGAGCAGGUAACACUUGAACUCUUCCUCUGACCCAAGUGCUGCUAAUUUACCUUGAAACCCAGUUAAGUCUAUUUCACCUUAUUAGAUAGAUGAGGUCUUAAAUCCAAGACCAUGGUUAUG
This 611-nucleotide long non-coding RNA is filed under the name Musa acuminata (dwarf banana). RNAcentral describes it as "long non-coding RNA (MACU_LNC001510)". The record is from RNAcentral. Lineage: Eukaryota; Viridiplantae; Streptophyta; Magnoliopsida; Zingiberales; Musaceae.